CUCUGCCCGCGGCUGUGGCGGCGCCGGCGGAUCCAGCCUUAGCGGUUCCUCUCUGGGCGGCGGCGGCGGCGGCUCGGUUGACGCCUCCUCCGCCAGCUGAGCCCGCCGGAGCCCGGGACGCCGCUUCCCCGCCCAUCCCCGCUCCCCGAGGCCGGCCGCCUGGUCAUGGCGCAGCCGGGCCCGGCUUCCCAGCCUGACGAGGAUCUGAAGAGGCAAAAUGCAGUAUUACAAGCUGCACAAGAUGAUUUGGGACACCUUCGAACCCAGCUGUGGGAAGCUCAAGCAGAGAUGGAGAAUAUUAAGGCGAUUGCCACAGUCUCUGAGAACACCAAGCAAGAAGCUAUAGAUGAAGUGAAAAGACAGUGGAGAGAAGAAGUUGCUUCACUUCAGGCUGUUAUGAAAGAAACAGUUCGUGACUAUGAGCACCAGUUCCACCUUAGGCUGGAGCAGGAGCGAACACAGUGGGCACAGUAUAGAGAAUCCGCAGAGAGGGAAAUAGCUGAUUUAAGAAGAAGGCUGUCUGAAGGUCAAGAGGAGGAAAAUUUAGAAAAUGAAAUGAAAAAGGCCCAAGAGGAUGCUGAGAAACUUCGGUCCGUUGUGAUGCCAAUGGAAAAGGAAAUUGCAGCUUUGAAGGAUAAACUGACAGAGGCUGAAGACAAAAUUAAAGAGCUGGAGGCCUCAAAGGUUAAAGAACUGAAUCAUUAUCUGGAAGCUGAGAAAUCUUGUAGGACUGAUCUAGAGAUGUAUGUAGCUGUUUUGAAUACUCAGAAAUCUGUUCUACAGGAAGAUGCUGAGAAACUGCGGAAAGAAUUGCAUGAAGUUUGCCAUCUCUUGGAGCAAGAGCGACAACAACACAACCAGUUAAAACAUACGUGGCAGAAGGCCAAUGACCAGUUUCUGGAAUCUCAGCGUUUACUGAUGAGAGACAUGCAGCGAAUGGAGAUUGUGCUAACUUCAGAACAGCUCCGACAAGUUGAAGAACUGAAGAAGAAAGAUCAGGAGGAUGAUGAACAACAAAGACUCAAUAAGAGAAAGGAUCACAAAAAAGCAGAUGUUGAGGAAGAAAUAAAAAUACCAGUAGUGUGUGCUUUAACUCAAGAAGAAUCUUCAGCCCAGUUAUCAAAUGAAGAGGAGCAUUUAGACAGCACCCAUGGUUCAGUUCAUUCCUUAGAUGCAGACUUAUUGUUGCCAUCUGGAGAUCCUUUCAGUAAAUCGGACAAUGACAUGUUUAAAGAUGGACUCAGGAGAGCACAGUCUACAGACAGCUUGGGAACCUCGGGCUCAUUGCAAUCCAAAGCUUUAGGCUAUAACUACAAAGCAAAAUCUGCUGGAAACCUGGAUGAGUCAGAUUUUGGACCACUGGUAGGAGCAGAUUCAGUGUCUGAGAACUUUGAUACUGCAUCCCUUGGGUCACUCCAGAUGCCAAGUGGGUUUAUGUUAACCAAAGAUCAGGAAAGAGCAAUCAAGGCGAUGACACCAGAACAAGAAGAGACAGCGUCCCUCCUCUCCAGCGUUACCCAGGGCAUGGAGAGUGCCUAUGUGUCCCCUAGUGGUUAUCGUUUAGUUAGUGAAACAGAAUGGAAUCUCUUGCAGAAAGAGGUACAUAAUGCUGGAAAUAAACUUGGUAGACGUUGUGAUAUGUGUUCCAAUUACGAAAAACAGUUACAAGGAAUUCAGAUUCAGGAGGCUGAAACGAGAGACCAGGUGAAAAAACUACAGCUGAUGCUAAGGCAAGCUAAUGACCAGUUAGAGAAGACAAUGAAAGAUAAGCAGGAGCUGGAAGACUUCAUAAAGCAAAGCAGCGAAGAUUCGAGUCACCAGAUCUCUGCACUCGUCCUAAGAGCCCAGGCCUCCGAGAUCUUACUUGAAGAGUUACAGCAGGGGCUUUCCCAGGCAAAGAGGGAUGUUCAGGAACAGAUGGCGGUGCUGAUGCAGUCACGGGAACAGGUUUCAGAAGAGCUGGUGAGGUUACAGAAAGAUAAUGACAGUCUCCAGGGAAAGCACAGCCUGCAUGUGUCAUUACAGCAAGCAGAAGACUUCAUCCUCCCAGACACUGCAGAGGCACUGCGGGAGUUGGUAUUAAAAUACCGUGAGGACAUCAUUAAUGUGCGGACAGCAGCAGACCACGUAGAAGAAAAGCUGAAGGCUGAGAUACUUUUCCUAAAAGAGCAGAUCCAAGCAGAACAGUGUUUAAAAGAAAAUCUUGAAGAAACUCUGCAACUAGAAAUAGAAAACUGCAAGGAGGAAAUAGCUUCUAUUUCUAGCCUAAAAGCUGAAUUAGAAAGAAUCAAAGUGGAAAAAGGACAGGUAAGUCGUGAGUUUCAAAUUAAUUCUAUCAGCAACCAGUGGUUAUUUAUUGACUCCUACUAUGCUGCACCCAACGAAUAAAAAAUAGUUAAGGCAUGGGCCCUGCCUUAAGGAACUUUUGUCUUGUGGGAAGAAAACCACGGGGUAAGGGUGUGCUGGUGAUUUAUUGACAGUGCCCUGUGUGUCAGGCUAGGUUAAACUGGAGGAGGUAAGGCUAAGAUGUGACUGUGGCCUGGAGUUUCCAGUGUAGUGAGAAGAUAGGCAAGGCAUGGUCAUAACAUGUUAUAUGCUUAGAGGUACAGUAGAAAUAUGUAUAAUAAAAAACAUUACAAACAAGAGAUGACAUUUUCUAGCUGGCUUAGUCCUCUUAGACAUCAUGAGUUCCUUUCAUAGUAACCCCAUUCAACUUCCUGACCUCACUGUUCCUUGAUUUAGAGAUUUUCACCUCCACCCUGCUCUCCCUU
RNAcentral lists this small RNA (2771 nucleotides) under Pan troglodytes (chimpanzee). Its description in RNAcentral is "retained intron". Lineage: Eukaryota; Metazoa; Chordata; Mammalia; Primates; Hominidae. The record is from RNAcentral.